Molecule: ribosomal RNA, 2839 nt
Filed under: Salmonella enterica subsp. enterica serovar Enteritidis
Lineage: Bacteria; Pseudomonadati; Pseudomonadota; Gammaproteobacteria; Enterobacterales; Enterobacteriaceae
Description: bacterial LSU rRNA
Rfam family: Bacterial large subunit ribosomal RNA
Source: RNAcentral
GGGUUGUGAGGUUAAGCGACUAAGCGUACACGGUGGAUGCCCUGGCAGUCAGAGGCGAUGAAGGGCGUGCUAAUCUGCGAUAAGCGCCGGUAAGGUGAUAUGAACCGUUAUAACCGGCGAUACCCGAAUGGGGAAACCCAGUGUGAUUCGUCACACUAUCAUUAACUGAAUCCAUAGGUUAAUGAGGCGAACCGGGGGAACUGAAACAUCUAAGUACCCCGAGGAAAAGAAAUCAACCGAGAUUCCCCCAGUAGCGGCGAGCGAACGGGGAGGAGCCCAGAGCCUGAAUCAGCAUGUGUGUUAGUGGAAGCGUCUGGAAAGGCGCGCGAUACAGGGUGACAGCCCCGUACACAAAAGCGCAUGUGCUGUGAGCUCGAUGAGUAGGGCGGGACACGUGGUAUCCUGUCUGAAUAUGGGGGGACCAUCCUCCAAGGCUAAAUACUCCUGACUGACCGAUAGUGAACCAGUACCGUGAGGGAAAGGCGAAAAGAACCCCGGCGAGGGGAGUGAAAAAGAACCUGAAACCGUGUACGUACAAGCAGUGGGAGCNNNNNNNNNNNNNNNNNNNGGGCGUUAAGUUGCAGGGUAUAGACCCGAAACCCGGUGAUCUAGCCAUGGGCAGGUUGAAGGUUGGGUAACACUAACUGGAGGACCGAACCGACUAAUGUUGAAAAAUUAGCGGAUGACCUGUGGCUGGGGGUGAAAGGCCAAUCAAACCGGGAGAUAGCUGGUUCUCCCCGAAAGCUAUUUAGGUAGCGCCUCGUGAAUUCAUCUCCGGGGGUAGAGCACUGUUUCGGCUAGGGGGCCAUCCCGGCUUACCAACCCGAUGCAAACUGCGAAUACCGGAGAAUGUUAUCACGGGAGACACACGGCGGGUGCUAACGUCCGUCGUGAAGAGGGAAACAACCCAGACCGCCAGCUAAGGUCCCAAAGUCAUGGUUAAGUGGGAAACGAUGUGGGAAGGCCCAGACAGCCAGGAUGUUGGCUUAGAAGCAGCCAUCAUUUAAAGAAAGCGUAAUAGCUCACUGGUCGAGUCGGCCUGCGCGGAAGAUGUAACGGGGCUAAACCAUGCACCGAAGCUGCGGCAGCGACACUGUGUGUUGUUGGGUAGGGGAGCGUUCUGUAAGCCUGCGAAGGUGGCCUGUGAGGGUUGCUGGAGGUAUCAGAAGUGCGAAUGCUGACAUAAGUAACGAUAAAGCGGGUGAAAAGCCCGCUCGCCGGAAGACCAAGGGUUCCUGUCCAACGUUAAUCGGGGCAGGGUGAGUCGACCCCUAAGGCGAGGCCGAAAGGCGUAGUCGAUGGGAAACGGGUUAAUAUUCCCGUACUUGGUGUUACUGCGAAGGGGGGACGGAGAAGGCUAUGUUGGCCGGGCGACGGUUGUCCCGGUUUAAGCGUGUAGGUGUGUGUUCCAGGUAAAUCCGGUUCACUUUAACACUGAGGCGUGACGACGAGGCACUACGGUGCUGAAGCAACAAAUGCCCUGCUUCCAGGAAAAGCCUCUAAGCAUCAGGUAACAUCAAAUCGUACCCCAAACCGACACAGGUGGUCAGGUAGAGAAUACCAAGGCGCUUGAGAGAACUCGGGUGAAGGAACUAGGCAAAAUGGUGCCGUAACUUCGGGAGAAGGCACGCUGACACGUAGGUGAAGUGAUUUACUCAUGGAGCUGAAGUCAGUCGAAGAUACCAGCUGGCUGCAACUGUUUAUUAAAAACACAGCACUGUGCAAACACGAAAGUGGACGUAUACGGUGUGACGCCUGCCCGGUGCCGGAAGGUUAAUUGAUGGGGUCAGCGCAAGCGAAGCUCCUGAUCGAAGCCCCGGUAAACGGCGGCCGUAACUAUAACGGUCCUAAGGUAGCGAAAUUCCUUGUCGGGUAAGUUCCGACCUGCACGAAUGGCGUAAUGAUGGCCAGGCUGUCUCCACCCGAGACUCAGUGAAAUUGAACUCGCUGUGAAGAUGCAGUGUACCCGCGGCAAGACGGAAAGACCCCGUGAACCUUUACUAUAGCUUGACACUGAACAUUGAGCCUUGAUGUGUAGGAUAGGUGGGAGGCUUUGAAGUGUGGACGCCAGUCUGCAUGGAGCCGACCUUGAAAUACCACCCUUUAAUGUUUGAUGUUCUAACGUGGACCCGUUACCCGGGUUGCGGACAGUGUCUGGUGGGUAGUUUGACUGGGGCGGUCUCCUCCUAAAGAGUAACGGAGGAGCACGAAGGUUGGCUAAUCCUGGUCGGACAUCAGGAGGUUAGUGCAAUGGCAUAAGCCAGCUUGACUGCGAGCGUGACGGCGCGAGCAGGUGCGAAAGCAGGUCAUAGUGAUCCGGUGGUUCUGAAUGGAAGGGCCAUCGCUCAACGGAUAAAAGGUACUCCGGGGAUAACAGGCUGAUACCGCCCAAGAGUUCAUAUCGACGGCGGUGUUUGGCACCUCGAUGUCGGCUCAUCACAUCCUGGGGCUGAAGUAGGUCCCAAGGGUAUGGCUGUUCGCCAUUUAAAGUGGUACGCGAGCUGGGUUUAGAACGUCGUGAGACAGUUCGGUCCCUAUCUGCCGUGGGCGCUGGAGAACUGAGGGGGGCUGCUCCUAGUACGAGAGGACCGGAGUGGACGCAUCACUGGUGUUCGGGUUGUCAUGCCAAUGGCACUGCCCGGUAGCUAAAUGCGGAAGAGAUAAGUGCUGAAAGCAUCUAAGCACGAAACUUGCCCCGAGAUGAGUUCUCCCUGAGACUUAGAGUCUCCUGAAGGAACGUUGAAGACGACGACGUUGAUAGGCCGGGUGUGUAAGCGCAGCGAUGCGUUGAGCUAACCGGUACUAAUGAACCGUGAGGCUUAACCUUACAACGCCGAAG